This 767-nucleotide ribosomal RNA is filed under the name uncultured bacterium. Its description in RNAcentral is "bacterial SSU rRNA". It matches the Rfam family "Bacterial small subunit ribosomal RNA", at positions 34 to 796 of the family's 1533-position model. The record is from RNAcentral.
CGCUGGCGGCAGGCCUAACACAUGCAAGUCGAGCGGAUGAAGGGAGCUUGCUCCCUGAUUUAGCGGCGGACGGGUGAGUAAUGCCUAGGAAUCUGCCUGGUAGUGGGGGAUAACGUUCCGAAAGGAACGCUAAUACCGCAUACGUCCUACGGGAGAAAGCAGGGGACCUUCGGGCCUUGCGCUAUCAGAUGAGCCUAGGUCGGAUUAGCUAGUUGGUGAGGUAAUGGCUCACCAAGGCGACGAUCCGUAACUGGUCUGAGAGGAUGAUCAGUCACACUGGAACUGAGACACGGUCCAGACUCCUACGGGAGGCAGCAGUGGGGAAUAUUGGACAAUGGGCGAAAGCCUGAUCCAGCCAUGCCGCGUGUGUGAAGAAGGUCUUCGGAUUGUAAAGCACUUUAAGUUGGGAGGAAGGGCAGUAAGCUAAUACCUUGCUGUUUUGACGUUACCGACAGAAUAAGCACCGGCUAACUUCGUGCCAGCAGCCGCGGUAAUACGAAGGGUGCAAGCGUUAAUCGGAAUUACUGGGCGUAAAGCGCGCGUAGGUGGUUCGUUAAGUUGGAUGUGAAAGCCCCGGGCUCAACCUGGGAACUGCAUCCAAAACUGGCGAGCUAGAGUACGGUAGAGGGUGGUGGAAUUUCCUGUGUAGCGGUGAAAUGCGUAGAUAUAGGAAGGAACACCAGUGGCGAAGGCGACCACCUGGACUGAUACUGACACUGAGGUGCGAAAGCGUGGGGAGCAAACAGGAUUAGAUACCCUGGUAGUCC